This 253-nucleotide ribosomal RNA is filed under the name uncultured bacterium. Its description in RNAcentral is "partial 16S ribosomal RNA". It matches the Rfam family "Bacterial small subunit ribosomal RNA", at positions 524 to 776 of the family's 1533-position model. The record is from RNAcentral.
CACGUAGGGCGCAAGCGUUGUCCGGAAUUAUUGGGCGUAAAGAGCUCGUAGGCGGUCUGUUGCGUCCGCUGUGAAAACUCGGGGCUUAACCCCGAGCCUGCAGUGGAUACGGGCAGACUAGAGGUAGGUAGGGGAGAAUGGAAUUCCCGGUGUAGCGGUGAGAUGCGCAGAUAUCGGGAGGAACACCGGUGGCGAAGGCGGUUCUCUGGACAGUUCCUGACACUGAGACACGAAGGCCAGGGGAGCAAACGGG